RNAcentral lists this transfer RNA (92 nucleotides) under Planctomycetota bacterium. Its description in RNAcentral is "Planctomycetes bacterium tRNA-Sec". It matches the Rfam family "Selenocysteine transfer RNA". The record is from RNAcentral. Lineage: Bacteria; Pseudomonadati; Planctomycetota.
GGAAGCGUUCGUAGUCUGGUGACUGCCCCGGUCUUCAAAACCGGUGAGGUGCCGAACAGGCGCCUGGUGGGUUCGAUUCCCAUCCGCUUCCG